GACGAACGCUGGCGGCGUGCUUAACACAUGCAAGUCGAGCGGAAAGGCCCUGCUUUUGUGGGGUGCUCGAGUGGCGAACGGGGGAGUAACACGUGUGUAACCUCCCCUUGACUUUGGGGUAACUUCAGGAAACUGGGGCUAAUACCGCAUAGGAUCUCUUGCUGCACGGGGGGGGAUGGAGAGUUUCGGCGGUUGUGGCUCGACUCGCUGGUUAUGAGCUUGUUGGUGGGGUAGUGGCUUACGAAGGCUGUGACGGAUAGGCGGCCUGGGAGGGUGACCGGCCUCAUUGGGACUGCGAUAGGGACCAGACUCGUACGGUAGGCAGCAGGCGGGAAUAUUGCGGAGUGGGCGCAAGCCUGAUGCAGCAACCCCGCGUGCGUGAUGACGGCCUUCGGGUUGUAAACCGAUUUCGCAGGUGACGAAGAGUGCGUGACGGUAAUGAGUAAAGAAGCACCGGCUAACUACGUG
Molecule: ribosomal RNA, 468 nt
Filed under: uncultured bacterium
Lineage: Bacteria
Description: partial 16S ribosomal RNA
Rfam family: Bacterial small subunit ribosomal RNA
Source: RNAcentral